Molecule: small nuclear RNA, 109 nt
Organism: Manis pentadactyla (Chinese pangolin)
Lineage: Eukaryota; Metazoa; Chordata; Mammalia; Pholidota; Manidae
Source: RefSeq, a predicted model, not a curated record
GUGCUCACUUCGGCUGCACAUAUUCUAAAAAAUUGGAACGAUACAGAGAAGAUUAGCAUGGUCCCUGCGCAAGGAUGUCACGCAAAUUCAUGAAAAAAAAUGUGCAGUA